CGCGUAGGCGGGUGUGCAAGUCGAUUGUGAAAGCCCCGGGCUUAACCUGGGAACUGCAGUCGAUACUACACAUCUUGAGUGCUUAAGAGGGUGGUGGAAUUCCUGGUGUAGUAGUGAAAUACGUAGAUAUCAGGAGGAACAUCGGAGGCGAAGGCGGCCACCUGGUGAGACACUGACGCUGAGGCGCGAAAGUGUGGGGAUCAAACAGGAUUAGAUACCCUGGUAGUCCACACCGUAAACGAUGGAUACUAGAUGUUCGGAGAGUUAACCCUCUGAGUAUCAAAGCUAACGCAUUAAGUAUCCCGCCUGGGGAGUACGGCCGCAAGGCUAAA
Molecule: ribosomal RNA, 332 nt
Filed under: uncultured bacterium
Lineage: Bacteria
Description: bacterial SSU rRNA
Rfam family: Bacterial small subunit ribosomal RNA
Source: RNAcentral